RNAcentral lists this ribosomal RNA (439 nucleotides) under uncultured bacterium. RNAcentral describes it as "partial 16S ribosomal RNA". It matches the Rfam family "Bacterial small subunit ribosomal RNA", at positions 338 to 795 of the family's 1533-position model. The record is from RNAcentral.
CCUACGGGAGGCAGCAGUGGGGGAUAUUGCACAAUGGGGGAAACCCUGAUGCAGCGAUGCCGCGUGAAUGAAGACGGCCUUCGGGUUGUAAAGUUCUGUCGCAGGGGACGAAAAUGACGGUACCCUGCAAGAAAGCUCCGGCAAACUAGGGGCCAGCCGCCGCGGUAAUACGUAGGGAGCAAGCAUUGUCCGGAAUUACUGGGUGAAAGGGGAGCGGAGGCGGGUGGAUAAGUUGAAUGUGAAAUCUAUGGGCUCAACCCAUAGCUGCGUUCAAAACUGUUCGUCUUGAGUGAAGUAGAGGCAGGCGGAAUUCCUGGGGUAGCGGUGAAAUGCGUAGAUAUUAGGAGGAACACCAGUUGCGAAGGCGGCCUGCUGGGCUUUUACUGACGCUGAGGCUCGAAAGCGUGGGUAGCAAACAGGAUUAGAUACCCCUGUAGUC